Molecule: non-coding RNA, 107 nt
Organism: Yersinia ruckeri
Lineage: Bacteria; Pseudomonadati; Pseudomonadota; Gammaproteobacteria; Enterobacterales; Yersiniaceae
Source: Rfam
GAGGUGAAUGACAAAGUGCUCGCCAUGGCGAAAACCGUCAGAUCGUCAAGACGCCGUGAAUACAUCCUUGUAGGCUCGUUCCGUGCCAUACCUGGCGCAAACGCUUG